GAUGACAGACGCCAGGAACUUCCAAUGGGUACACUGAAGCAGCUGCAUACUAGGAUGCUUUUUAUACUUACAAGGUGUACACGAUUGCUUCAAUUCCACAAGGAAAGUGCAUUUGCUGAGGAUGAACCUGUAUUUCAACUUCGUCAAUCGUUCUUACAAGGUGUACACGAUUGCUUCAAUUUCACAAGGAAAGUGCAUUUGCUGAGGAUGAACCUGUAUUUCAACUUCGUCAAUCAUUGCAGCCUGUGGCAAAACGCAUUCCUCCAGGCAUGGGAAGAAAUAGUAAGAUGUCUGGUCCUAUGCAAUUCCAAAAGGUGCCGUCCCCUAGAAAAUUUUAUAGUCAGGAACAACAU
This 353-nucleotide long non-coding RNA is filed under the name Nicotiana benthamiana. Its description in RNAcentral is "long non-coding RNA (NBEN_LNC028266)". The record is from RNAcentral. Lineage: Eukaryota; Viridiplantae; Streptophyta; Magnoliopsida; Solanales; Solanaceae.